GUGAAUCAUCAAAUUUUUGAACGCAAAUUGCACUCUUUGCGGAGAGUAUGCCUGUGUGAGGGUCAGCCUAAAAAAAAGCGACAUAGUCGCUGUUUCGCGGUGACAUUCGUCGGAAACUGGGUCAUAUUAUACCUUGGGGUUUUAAGCGGCUUAAAAUUUGCUUUACGAUUCUACGAACGAAUCUAAGAUAUAUUUCUUACACGUUUAAGGUAAUCGAUCUUUAUUAGACGCGGCAGUUGCACCGGAUCGCGACCAUAAAUAUUGCGUUAACUGACCU
RNAcentral lists this unclassified non-coding RNA (277 nucleotides) under Glomus sp. RNAcentral describes it as "partial contains 5.8S ribosomal RNA and internal transcribed spacer 2". The stretch from base 1 to 65 matches the Rfam family "5.8S ribosomal RNA", at positions 84 to 154 of the family's 154-position model. The record is from RNAcentral. Lineage: Eukaryota; Fungi; Glomeromycota; Glomeromycetes; Glomerales; Glomeraceae.